UCCUGGUUAGCUCAGUUAGUAGAGCGACCCAGGGGCCUUUCCACUGGAAAUGGGGAGGUCCCUGGUUCGAUACCAGGACCAGGCG
RNAcentral lists this transfer RNA (85 nucleotides) under Ixodes scapularis (black-legged tick). Its description in RNAcentral is "tRNA-Pro". Lineage: Eukaryota; Metazoa; Arthropoda; Arachnida; Ixodida; Ixodidae. The record is from RNAcentral.